CAGUAGCCGCGGGAAUACGAAGGGGGCUAGCGUUGCUCGGAAUUACUGGGCGUAAAGGGAGCGUAGGCGGAUCGUUAAGUUGGGGGUGAAAGCCCGGGGCUCAACCUCGGAACUGCCUUCAAUACUGGCGAUCUUGAGUAUGAGAGAGGUGUGUGGAACUCCGAGUGUAGAGGUGAAAUUCGUAGAUAUUCGGAAGAACACCAGUGGCGAAGGCGACACACUGGCUCAUUACUGACGCUGAGGCUCGAAAGCGUGGGGAGCAAACAGGAUUAGAUACCCCCGUAGUCCCUGUCUCUUAUAC
Molecule: ribosomal RNA, 301 nt
Filed under: uncultured bacterium
Lineage: Bacteria
Description: partial 16S ribosomal RNA
Rfam family: Bacterial small subunit ribosomal RNA
Source: RNAcentral